RNAcentral lists this ribosomal RNA (526 nucleotides) under uncultured bacterium. Its description in RNAcentral is "bacterial SSU rRNA". It matches the Rfam family "Bacterial small subunit ribosomal RNA", at positions 777 to 1303 of the family's 1533-position model. The record is from RNAcentral.
AAUAGAUACCCAGGUAGUCCAUGCCGUAAACGUUGGGCACUAGGUGUGGGGCUCGAUUCCACGAGUUCCGUGCCGCAGCAAACGCAUUAAGUGCCCCGCCUGGGGAGUACGGCCGCAAGGCUAAACUCAAAGGAAUUGACGGGGGCCCGCACAAGCGGCGGAGCAUGCGGAUUAAUUCGAUGCAACGCGAAGAACCUUACCAAGGCUUGACAUGCACGGGAAGCCACCAGAGAUGGUGGUCUCUUUGGACACUCGUGCACAGGUGGUGCAUGGUUGUCGUCAGCUCGUGUCGUGAGAUGUUGGGUUAAGUCCCGCAACGAGCGCAACCCUGUCCCAUGUUGCCAGCGGGUUAUGCCGGGGACUCAUGGGAGACUGCCGGGGUCAACUCGGAGGAAGGUGGGGAUGACGUCAAAUCAUCAUGCCCCUUAUGCCUUGGGCUUCACGCAUGCUACAAUGGCCGGUACAAAGGGCUGCGAUACCGUAAGUGGAGCGAAUCCCAAAAAGCCGGUCUCAGUUCGGAUUGGGU